AGCAUGAAACAUACAUGUUUCAUUUCGUUGUCGAAUGGUGACGCAACGGUGAAAUUGAUGAUUUUCUUGAUGGUGCAUAAAUCUUAUAAAUGAAAAUGAACAAAAAAAUUGCAAUAAGAAUCAAUGCAGAAAUCAUACUGUCUCACAUUCUUAAAAUUAUUCAUUAGAAAAUAAAAAUAUUUAAAAUACACUUAUGACAAACGUGAAGCUCAAUAUUUCUCAACCACCUUCAAAUCAUUAAAAUCGUUUGCAUUGGAGCGCUUUGGAUUUAUACCCAUUCUAACGUUUUCGCCAAAAUUGAUCGGAGCUGUUAAUGCUUGGCUAUUUGGAAUUCGAUUUUCAUGCAACAGCAACGCACCGCUACAUGGAAAUCGAUACCCUGGAUUAUCUUCGAUCAAAUUUGACGUCUGAGUCAAUAUUUGAGAAUCCAUCACUCGUCACAAUUGCUCUGAAAACCCGCCAGUGGUCUUUUCACUAAAUUUCACCACGCUACCAAUUUUAGCGGCCACUGAAUAUAACCACAAAAGUGGUUCAUUCAUACAUGUGGUGUAUUGAAACAUUAAAUUUUUUGUGGAAACGCGCCACUUUUGUGGUUCAUUGACAGCUACAAAUAAUGAUGAAAUGUGGUGUCAGGUUUUCAGAGUGGUCACAAUAGAUAUCGGUUCGUGUUUGUAUUGAAUAAUAUCUAUAGAAAUGAUUGUAAUUGAUUAAUUUUUGAAUCAAUGGAAAAAAAGAUAAAUAUGUUAAAAUCAAUGCAUCCGAAGAAUUUUAGUGAUUUUGCACCGUCAUUAACACUCAAUGUCAUUAAAAUUUACUAUCACUGAGUGUUAAUAACGGUGCAAAGUUAUGUAAGUUAAAUUGAGGAACUUGUUGGCGGAUUAUUAAAGGAUAAAUGAGAUACUGAGAGUAAAAAACAAAUAAGUGAGGUUAGAAUGCAAGUUUCUCAUAGGAAUAUAAGUCAGGAGAAGAGCUAUGAGGAACUGAAGGAGAAACAGUCUCUGAUUUACUGCUCUUAAAAACAGUUGUUGAUUUUGUUUUUUAUGACGGUGUUCUCUUAAAUCUCGGGAGAAAUCUCACAUUGAUUCUCGGACCAUCUUGUAUCAAUAUUGGCUUAUUGCUAAUUAUCUUUCAUGAAAUCAACAUAAAUGACACACUUUAAAUUUUUUUAAAGAAAAAUUCAAAGCAGAAGUCGAAUAUUGUAAAAUACUCACUACCAAAAAUUCAACCGACAUUUAGCCAAAUGGAAAAGCUUCAGUGGAUCUGUGCCCAAAACUAAAAUUUAAAUUCAUUUUUUUUUUUUUACAUACAGGUUAAUUGAAAAAUACAAAUUGGAAGGAGCCGAAAAAGAGACUGCCUUAAGGCCCUUAUCCGCCGAAAUGAUGAUACAAAUAAAGAAACGUAACACAGACAAAAAAGCAAUCGUUGAAUCGUUGAUGUCGUUAUUGGGUGACAAUUUUGAAUCGUCUCAGCUGUAUUAUACUUAUAAUUAUAAGUUAUAAAUGGUUGACAUUCUUUUCUGCCACAUCUAGUUCAUUCAACUGAUUUAACUGAACUAGAUGUGGCAGAAAUGAAUGUUAACCAUUGAAAAUGAAAAUCGACCAAGUGAAUCAGAAAAAUGGAUUUUUGCUCACUAUUGAUGAAAUUAAGGAGAAAAUAAAUAUCGUACAACAAAUGAAACCGAAUAAUAUUGCAGACUUCAUUCCUUCACUAAUUGCCGAUGCGAUUGUAUUGGAAAAAUAUCUCAUUGAGUGAUUAAAAUCCAUUGGAAAUGAUCAUCCGAUUUAUUAUUGUAGCGCAAAAAUAGUCACUGAGGUUUUCUUAAAAACCCGAGAGUCAAGCGCAAUAAGGGCACACUAUAUAAACGCCAUCUAUUAAUAACCGACUAACUACAAUGUAAAUCAAACGUAUCUGUUUCCCCUUUUUAUUUACUCCCUUCCCCUCUCGCUAUACUUUUACAUUGUAGUUAGUCUGUUUUACAAAGAUGUCGUUUCUGUGUAAGAUGUGUGACGUCACAAUGUAUUUAUAUGGAUAGCGCUCGACUCUCGUAAAAACCAUGCCAAACAUCUCAAACCAAAGCCAGAUGUUCUCAAAAAAACAUCUAGCUUUGAUUUGAGAGUAUUUGUCAUGGCGUAAAUCAUAAAACUAUUUUGUCAAGUUCAGCGGUCUUCAAAGUCUAUAGCGUGGAGAGACAGCGUAGGUCUACAUUUAUAGGGCCUGACAUUUUUUAAUACAAUAAUUUGGCCUUUUUUAGAUGAUAGAUUCAAAUUUAUAUAAAAAAGCAUUUCAAAUUCACGUUACUACUAAAAAUUCAAACAGAUUUUAUAUACUACAGACCUUUGUCAACCGUAACCGGUUACCUUCUUCGUCUCUGUUAUCUGUGAGCCUAUUACCGCAUAAGAGAAAGAUCACCAUGCUUAAUUUUUCAUUACUUCCAUACCGAUUAUGUUGUGUAUUUUGAAACC
This is a long non-coding RNA of Contarinia nasturtii (swede midge), 2462 nucleotides long. RefSeq lists it as uncharacterized. NCBI's taxonomy places the organism in Eukaryota, Metazoa, Arthropoda, Insecta, Diptera, Cecidomyiidae. The transcript has 3 exons. The record is from RefSeq and is a predicted model, not a curated record.